AGCAGCAGCCAUAUCACUCUGCAACUCACAACUAGCAACCCCACUGAAGCUAAGCAGGUGUGAGCUUGGUCAGUACCUGGAUGGGAGACCUCCUGGGAAAAACUAAGGUUGCUGUUG
Ribosomal RNA from Lepisosteus oculatus (spotted gar), 117 nucleotides. NCBI's taxonomy places the organism in Eukaryota, Metazoa, Chordata, Actinopteri, Semionotiformes, Lepisosteidae. The record is from Ensembl.